ACGGAAGGCAGCAGUGAGGAAUAUUGGUCAAUGGGCGGAAGCCUGAACCAGCCAUCUCGCGUGCAGGACUACGGCCCUACGGGUCUUAAACUGCUUUUAUGGGGGGAUAAAGUCGGGCAUUCGUGUCCGUUUGCAGGUACCCCAUGAAUAAGGAUCGGCUAACUCCGUGCCAGCAGCCGCGGUAAUACGGAGGAUCCGAGCGUUAUCCGGAUUUAUUGGGUUUAAAGGGUGCGCAGGCGGGAUGUCAAGUCAGUGGUGAAAUGGUGCGGCUCAACCGUAGCAUUGCCGUUGAAACUGGCGUCCUUGAGUGCGAAUGAGGUACGCGGAACGUGUCAUGUAGCGGUGAAAUGCAUAGAUAUGACACAGAACACCGAUUGCGAAGGCAGCGUACUGGGACGCGACUGACGCUGAGGCACGAAAGUGCGGGGAUCGAACAGGAUUAGAUACCCUGGUA
RNAcentral lists this ribosomal RNA (454 nucleotides) under uncultured Porphyromonadaceae bacterium. Its description in RNAcentral is "partial 16S ribosomal RNA". It matches the Rfam family "Bacterial small subunit ribosomal RNA", at positions 341 to 792 of the family's 1533-position model. Lineage: Bacteria; Pseudomonadati; Bacteroidota; Bacteroidia; Bacteroidales; Porphyromonadaceae. The record is from RNAcentral.